This 520-nucleotide ribosomal RNA is filed under the name uncultured Glomus. RNAcentral's name for it is "SSU rRNA". It matches the Rfam family "Eukaryotic small subunit ribosomal RNA", at positions 569 to 1087 of the family's 1831-position model. Lineage: Eukaryota; Fungi; Glomeromycota; Glomeromycetes; Glomerales; Glomeraceae. The record is from RNAcentral.
AGCAGCCGCGGUAAUUCCAGCUCCAAUAGCGUAUAUUAAAGUUGUUGCAGUUAAAAAGCUCGUAGUUGAAUUUCGGGAUCAAUUUAUCGGUCGUGCCAAUGGUAUGAACUGGUACAAUUGGUUUCUUCCUUCUGAUAAAGCGUGAUGCCAUUAACUUGGUGUCGCCGGGGAAUCAGAACUGUUACUUUGAAAAAAUUAGAGUGUUUAAAGCGGGCUUAGGCUUGAAUACAUUAGCAUGGAAUAAUGAAAUAGGACGUUUGAUCCUAUUUUGUUGGUUUCUAGGAUCGACGUAAUGAUUAAUAGGGAUAGUUGGGGGCAUUAGUAUUCAAUUGCCAGAGGUGAAAUUCUUGGAUUUAUUGAAGACUAACUACUGCGAAAGCAUUUGCCAAGGAUGUUUUCAUUAAUCAAGAACGAAAGUUAGGGGAAUCGAAGACGAUCAGAUACCGUCGUAGUCUUAACCAUAAACUAUGCCGACUAGGGAUCGGAUGAUGUUAAUUUUUUAAUGUACUCAUUCGGCGCC